UCCGGUUUAACACCGGCAGUCUCGUUAGAGUGCUUCCCGAUUACUCGGGAGUGGCAACAGGACACAAGGGUUGCGCUCGUUGCGGGACUUAACCCAACAUCUCACGACACGAGCUGACGACAGCCAUGCAGCACCUGUGUACGCUGGUAUUGCUACCUCGUCAGGCUUUCACCCUUCUACUACGUACAUGUCAAGGCCAGGUAAGGUUCUUCGCGUUGCAUCGAAUUGAGCCACAUACUCCACCGCUUGUGCAGGCCCCCGUCAAUUUCUUUGAGUUUUAAUCUUGCGACCGUACUUCCCAGGCGGCACGUUUAACGCGUUGGCUACGCCACAAAAGGGGUCGAUUCCUUUUACAGCAAACGUGCACCGUUUACGGCUAGGACUAC
Molecule: unclassified non-coding RNA, 386 nt
Filed under: uncultured Verrucomicrobiae bacterium
Lineage: Bacteria; Pseudomonadati; Verrucomicrobiota; Verrucomicrobiia
Description: contains 16S-23S intergenic spacer region
Source: RNAcentral